RNAcentral lists this ribosomal RNA (255 nucleotides) under uncultured bacterium. RNAcentral's name for it is "partial 16S ribosomal RNA". It matches the Rfam family "Bacterial small subunit ribosomal RNA", at positions 524 to 777 of the family's 1533-position model. The record is from RNAcentral.
UACGUAGGGUGCAAGCGUUAAUCGGAAUUACUGGGCGUAAAGCGUGCGCAGGCGGUUUUGUAAGUCAGAUGUGAAAUCCCCGGGCUUAACCUGGGAACUGCGUUUGAAACUACAAGGCUAGAGUGUGGCAGAGGGGGGUGGAAUUCCACGUGUAGCAGUGAAAUGCGUAGAGAUGUGGAGGAACACCGAUGGCGAAGGCCAGCCCCCUGGGUUAACACUGACGCUCAGGCACGAAAGCGUGGGGAGCAAACAGGA